RNAcentral lists this ribosomal RNA (445 nucleotides) under uncultured bacterium. RNAcentral's name for it is "SSU rRNA". It matches the Rfam family "Bacterial small subunit ribosomal RNA", at positions 26 to 518 of the family's 1533-position model. The record is from RNAcentral.
AGAACGAACGCUGGCGGCAGGCUUAACACAUGCAAGUCGAACGCCCCGCAAGGGGAGUGGCGCACGGGUGAGUAACGCGUGGAUAUCUGCCUUUUGGUUCGGAAUAACCCCGGGAAACUGGGGCUAAUACCGAAUGGUUCCUACGGGAUAAAGAUUUAUCGCCAAAAGAUGAGUCCGCGUCCGAUUAGCUAGUUGGUGAGGUAACGGCUCACCAAGGCAACGAUCGGUAGCUGGUCUGAGAGGACGAUCAGCCACACUGGGACUGAGACACGGCCCAGACUCCUACGGGAGGCAGCAGUGGGGAAUAUUGGACAAUGGGGGCAACCCUGAUCCAGCCAUGCCGCGUGAGUGAUGAAGGCCUUCGGGUUGUAAAGCUCUUUUGGCGGGGACGAUGAUGACGGUACCCGCAGAAUAACGCCCCGGCUAACUUCGUGCCAGCAGCCGC